CCUACGGGAGGCAGCAGUGGGGAAUAUUGCACAAUGGGCGAAAGCCUGAUGCAGCGACGCCGCGUGAGGGAUGACGGCCUUCGGGUUGUAAACCUCUUUCAGCAGGGAAGAAGCGAAAGUGACGGUACCUGCAGAAGAAGCGCCGGCUAACUACGUGCCAGCAGCCGCGGUAAUACGUAGGGCGCAAGCGUUGUCCGGAAUUAUUGGGCGUAAAGAGCUCGUAGGCGGCUUGUUGCGUCGGUUGUGAAAGCUCGGGGCUUAACCCCGGGUCUGCAGUCGAUACGGGCAGGCUAGAGUGUGGUAGGGGAGAUCGGAAUUCCUGGUGUAGCGGUGAAAUGCGCAGAUAUCAGGAGGAACACCGGUGGCGAAGGCGGAUCUCUGGGCCAUUACUGACGCUGAGGAGCGAAAGCGUGGGGAGCGAACAGGAUUAGAUACCCUGGUAGUCCACGCCGUAAACGUUGGGAACUAGGUGUUGGCGACAUUCCACGUCGUCGGUGCCGCAGCUAACGCAUUAAGUUCCCGCCUGGGGAGUACGGCCGCAAGGCUAAAACGUUAAAUGAAUUGACGG
RNAcentral lists this ribosomal RNA (568 nucleotides) under uncultured bacterium. RNAcentral describes it as "bacterial SSU rRNA". It matches the Rfam family "Bacterial small subunit ribosomal RNA", at positions 338 to 916 of the family's 1533-position model. The record is from RNAcentral.